This 307-nucleotide ribosomal RNA is filed under the name uncultured bacterium. Its description in RNAcentral is "bacterial SSU rRNA". It matches the Rfam family "Bacterial small subunit ribosomal RNA", at positions 775 to 1067 of the family's 1533-position model. The record is from RNAcentral.
GGAUUAGAUACCCUGGUAGUCCUAGCUGUAAACGAUGGAUACUAGACGUAGGAACUGGAUUGACGGUUUCUGUGUCGCAGCUAACGCGUUAAGUAUCCCGCCUGGGGACUACGAUCGCAAGAUUGAAACUCAAAGGAAUUGACGGGGACCCGCACAAGCGGUGGAACAUGUGGUUUAAUUCGAUGAUACGCGAAGAACCUUACCUGGGUUUGACAUGUUAGUGAAAGUUUUCUGAAAAGAAUUCCCUUUAAGAGCUUGCUCUUAAACACUAUCACAGGUGGUGCAUGGCUGUCGUCAGCUCGUGCUG